GGGACACGUGGUAUCCUGUCUGAAUAUGGGGGGACCAUCCUCCAAGGCUAAAUACUCCUGACUGACCGAUAGUGAACCAGUACCGUGAGGGAAAGGCGAAAAGAACCCCGGCGAGGGGAGUGAAAAAGAACCUGAAACCGUGUACGUACAAGCAGUGGGAGCACGCUUAGGCGUGUGACUGCGUACCUUUUGUAUAAUGGGUCAGCGACUUAUAUUCUGUAGCAAGGUUAACCGAAUAGGGGAGCCGAAGGGAAACCGAGUCUUAACUGGGCGUUAAGUUGCAGGGUAUAGACCCGAAACCCGGUGAUCUAGCCAUGGGCAGGUUGAAGGUUGGGUAACACUAACUGGAGGACCGAACCGACUAAUGUUGAAAAAUUAGCGGAUGACUUGUGGCUGGGGGUGAAAGGCCAAUCAAACCGGGAGAUAGCUGGUUCUCCCCGAAAGCUAUUUAGGUAGCGCCUCGUGAAUUCAUCUCCGGGGGUAGAGCACUGUUUCGGCAAGGGGGUCAUCCCGACUUACCAACCCGAUGCAAACUGCGAAUACCGGAGAAUGUUAUCACGGGAGACACACGGCGGGUGCUAACGUCCGUCGUGAAGAGGGAAACAACCCAGACCGCCAGCUAAGGUCCCAAAGUCAUGGUUAAGUGGGAAACGAUGUGGGAAGGCCCAGACAGCCAGGAUGUUGGCUUAGAAGCAGCCAUCAUUUAAAGAAAGCGUAAUAGCUCACUGGUCGAGUCGGCCUGCGCGGAAGAUGUAACGGGGCUAAACCAUGCACCGAAGCUGCGGCAGCGACACUAUGUGUUGUUGGGUAGGGGAGCGUUCUGUAAGCCUGUGAAGGUGUGCUGUGAGGCAUGCUGGAGGUAUCAGAAGUGCGAAUGCUGACAUAAGUAACGAUAAAGCGGGUGAAAAGCCCGCUCGCCGGAAGACCAAGGGUUCCUGUCCAACGUUAAUCGGGGCAGGGUGAGUCGACCCCUAAGGCGAGGCCGAAAGGCGUAGUCGAUGGGAAACAGGUUAAUAUUCCUGUACUUGGUGUUACUGCGAAGGGGGGACGGAGAAGGCUAUGUUGGCCGGGCGACGGUUGUCCCGGUUUAAGCGUGUAGGCUGGUUUUCCAGGCAAAUCCGGAAAAUCAAGGCUGAGGCGUGAUGACGAGGCACUACGGUGCUGAAGCAACAAAUGCCCUGCUUCCAGGAAAAGCCUCUAAGCAUCAGGUAACAUCAAAUCGUACCCCAAACCGACACAGGUGGUCAGGUAGAGAAUACCAAGGCGCUUGAGAGAACUCGGGUGAAGGAACUAGGCAAAAUGGUGCCGUAACUUCGGGAGAAGGCACGCUGAUAUGUAGGUGAAGUCCCUCGCGGAUGGAGCUGAAAUCAGUCGAAGAUACCAGCUGGCUGCAACUGUUUAUUAAAAACACAGCACUGUGCAAACACGAAAGUGGACGUAUACGGUGUGACGCCUGCCCGGUGCCGGAAGGUUAAUUGAUGGGGUCAGCGCAAGCGAAGCUCUUGAUCGAAGCCCCGGUAAACGGCGGCCGUAACUAUAACGGUCCUAAGGUAGCGAAAUUCCUUGUCGGGUAAGUUCCGACCUGCACGAAUGGCGUAAUGAUGGCCAGGCUGUCUCCACCCGAGACUCAGUGAAAUUGAACUCGCUGUGAAGAUGCAGUGUACCCGCGGCAAGACGGAAAGACCCCGUGAACCUUUACUAUAGCUUGACACUGAACAUUGAGCCUUGAUGUGUAGGAUAGGUGGGAGGCUUUGAAGUGUGGACGCCAGUCUGCAUGGAGCCGACCUUGAAAUACCACCCUU
RNAcentral lists this ribosomal RNA (1802 nucleotides) under Escherichia coli. Its description in RNAcentral is "partial 23S ribosomal RNA". It matches the Rfam family "Bacterial large subunit ribosomal RNA", at positions 419 to 2207 of the family's 2925-position model. The record is from RNAcentral. Lineage: Bacteria; Pseudomonadati; Pseudomonadota; Gammaproteobacteria; Enterobacterales; Enterobacteriaceae.